Molecule: ribosomal RNA, 916 nt
Filed under: uncultured bacterium
Lineage: Bacteria
Description: bacterial SSU rRNA
Rfam family: Bacterial small subunit ribosomal RNA
Source: RNAcentral
UUGUUGGUAAGGUAAAAGCUUACCAAGGCUUCGACCAGUAGCUGGUCUGAGAGGACGACCAGCCACACUGGGACUGAGACACGGCCCAGACUCCUACGGGAGGCAGCAGUGGGGAAUUUUGGACAAUGGGGGCAACCCUGAUCCAGCCAUGCCGCGUGAGUGAAGAAGGCCUUCGGGUUGUAAAGCUCUUUCAGCCGGAACGAAACGGUUACGGUUAACACCCGUGACUACUGACGGUACCGGAAGAAGAAGCACCGGCUAACUACGUGCCAGCAGCCGCGGUAAUACGUAGGGUGCGAGCGUUAAUCGGAAUUACUGGGCGUAAAGCGUGCGCAGGUGGUUUUGUAAGUCAGAUGUGAAAGCCCCGGGCUCAACCUGGGAACUGCGUUUGAAACUACAAGACUAGAGUGUGGCAGAGGGGGGUGGAAUUCCGCGUGUAGCAGUGAAAUGCGUAGAGAUGUGGAGGAACACCGAUGGCGAAGGCGGCCCCCUGGGUCAACACUGACGCUCAGGCACGAAAGCAUGGGGAGCAAACAGGAUUAGAUACCCUGGUAGUCCAUGCCCUAAACGAUGUCAACUAGUUGUCGGGCCUUUACGGGCUUGGUAACGUAGCUAACGCGUGAAGUUGACCGCCUGGGGAGUACGAUCGCAAGAUUAAAACUCAAAUGAAUUGACGGGGACCCGCACAAGCGGUGGAUUAUGUGGAUUAAUUCGAUGCAACGCGAAAAACCUUACCUACCCUUGACAUGUAUCGAAGCCCGCAGAAAAGCGGGGGUGCCCGAAAGGGAACGAUAACACUGGUGCCGCAUGGCUGUCGUCAGCUCGUGUCGUGAGAUGUUGGGUUAAGUCCCGCAACGAGCGCAACCCUUGUCAUUAAUUGCCAUCAUUUAGUUGGGCACUUUAAUGAGACUGCCGG